AGCGAACGCUGGCGGCAGGCCUAACACAUGCAAGUCGAACGAACCUUUCGGGGUUAGUGGCGGACGGGUGAGUAACACGUGGGAACGUGCCUUUAGGUUCGGAAUAACUCAGGGAAACUUGUGCUAAUACCGAAUGUGCCCUUCGGGGGAAAGAUUUAUCGCCUUUAGAGCGGCCCGCGUCUGAUUAGCUAGUUGGUUGAGGUAAUGGCUCACCAAGGCGACGAUCAGUAGCUGGUCUGAGAGGAUGAUCAGCCACAUUGGGACUGAGUCACGGCCCAAACUACUACGGGAGGCUGCAGUGGGGAAGCUUGAGGAAGGGCGGAAAUUCGUACAAACCCAUGCCGCGGGAAUGAAGAAGUGCUUAGGAUUGUAAAACCCUUUCACACGGUACGACAAUCACGGUCCGUGGUAAAGAAGCCCCGGCUAACUUCGUG
RNAcentral lists this ribosomal RNA (434 nucleotides) under uncultured bacterium. RNAcentral's name for it is "partial 16S ribosomal RNA". It matches the Rfam family "Bacterial small subunit ribosomal RNA", at positions 29 to 507 of the family's 1533-position model. The record is from RNAcentral.